UACGUAGGGGGCUAGCGUUGUCCGGAAUCAUUGGGCGUAAAGCGCGCGUAGGCGGCCCGGUAAGUCCGCUGUAAAAGUCCAGGGCUCAACCCUGGAAAGCCGGUGGAUACUGUCGGGCUCGAGUCCGGAAGAGGCGAGUGGAAUUCCUGGUGUAGCGGUGGAAUGCGCAGAUAUCAGGAGGAACACCGAUGGCGAAGGCAGCUCGCUGGGACGGUACUGACGCUGAGGCACGAAAGCGUGGGGAGCGAACAGG
This 253-nucleotide ribosomal RNA is filed under the name uncultured bacterium. RNAcentral's name for it is "partial 16S ribosomal RNA". It matches the Rfam family "Bacterial small subunit ribosomal RNA", at positions 524 to 776 of the family's 1533-position model. The record is from RNAcentral.